GCCAGGCAUGGUGGUUCAUGCCUGUAAUCCUAGAACUUUGGGAGGCUGAGGCAGGUGGAUCAUCUGAGGUCAGGAGUUCGAGACCAGCCUGACCAACAAGGUGAAACCCUGUCUCUA
RNAcentral lists this non-coding RNA (117 nucleotides) under Gorilla gorilla gorilla (western lowland gorilla). The record is from Rfam by way of RNAcentral. Lineage: Eukaryota; Metazoa; Chordata; Mammalia; Primates; Hominidae.